UUUUUUUUUUCUUUGAUCAGACACCAGGUAAUGGAGGGAGAAUGACCAAACGAAUAAAGCAUGCCAAGCAGGAACACAAAUAUUACUCACCUAUUGCUCUGCAGGUGAGUAUUUCCGGCUCCAGGAGAGCAACAUUUUGCUGCCAAACAAGUCUAUGAAGCACCUGAAAUGCAUUUAGCUCUUGACAGGGUUCCCUAGAAGUUUGAUCUUCUCCACUGCAUGAGGAAUAAAUAAAUAAAUAGGAAAAUGAAACAAAACCAAUUUGCAUAAGCCACGGGGAAACAAAGUUGUGCCAAAGGCUUUGGCAGAAGGUGUUUUAUGUGGGGCUGAAACAACAGAAAUGAGUGUAUGACAUGGCCGUGAUUUCCUCUGUCAAUGCAAAUAUACAGGAAAACAUUUUUGGAUGUGUGUGCUAUUGCUGUCUAUUGUAAACCUGGAAAUAUUUUGGUUACUUGCCACAGCUGCUUCUCUCACUUCCCAAAGGUUACAGGUGAAGUUGAUGUGCACAAUGGCUGUCAUGCGUAUCUGUGGUAUCACAGUGUCUGCCAAUCUCACACUGUUCCUCCACAAGACACAGCGGUGCAAGAUGAAGCCCUGAAAAAAGUAGUCCCUUAAAAAAUAAAUGAGAAAAGAAAUCUGUUUUGAAAAUCACACCGAGUUAGCAACCAUUUCUCCUGCAGAGCACAAUCCUGGUACAGGAGAACAGUCACUGCUGGAUGCUUGCAGUGUCCAGGGUUUCUAAUGCAGCAAUGAGUGGGCUUUUAUCAAGCAAUUGUGUUUCUACCCAUUUUGAGUCUUGUACGUUUGAUGUCUUCUCUGUUUUUCUGGCAGGCACUAAGAAUCUUUUAGGUAUUGAAAAAUAGGAAAUGAGAUGAAAAUGCUCGAGCCAGAUGUCGGAGAUUAGGUAUGUAAACAUGUAAAGCUAUAUUUUGGCAACUAAAUGUCGAACUGCUGGCUUGUUGAACUCAGGCAGAGCCAGCUGCAUGGGCUCAGCAUCUCUGGAACUUAUUAGAAGGCGAGGUAAUUUUGUCAUUUCUUUGCUAUCUCCGUUUAGUAGAGCACCACAGCUGUAGUAUUCUGUACAGGAACACUGACCACAAGAGGGCAUGUUUGCUCCACAGUUUGUGUCAUUCAAUCCAGUGUUGAAAAGGGGCUGGAAGAGCUCCUCCGUACCAGUUUGUGGGAAGCGCUUGAAUCGCUUUCCUUGAAGCACAGCGAAAACCAUCAAUGGCAGUUAAAGGCUGCUGUACAAAGAACGGUUUUGUGACUGCAGUUCUGCUAGCAGCGUUAUUAAGAACUGUUUUUGUAACCUGAACUUUCAGGCCAAAAAUGGCAUUGUGGUGUGUAGCAGAAUAAAGUUUCUGCAGAUGUUUUCUA
This 1377-nucleotide long non-coding RNA is filed under the name Strigops habroptila (Kakapo). RNAcentral describes it as "lncRNA (ENSSHBG00005010684.1)". Lineage: Eukaryota; Metazoa; Chordata; Aves; Psittaciformes; Psittacidae. The record is from RNAcentral.